UUUCUCGUUCCUCCUGUAGUCCUGUGAACCCUAAUGAAACCCCAAAUCCUUUUCCCUCUUCUAGAGAAAGUUCUGAAAUCGUUCAAAUGAAAACCUAUGUUCUUCAUCACUUCCUGCAUCUUCUCGAUUGAAAAACCAGUAUCUAACCCCUAACCCUAGAUUUGCUUAAAACAGAUUUGAUGUUCCUGCUGCUGAACAAGACGAACCAAGCAAAUAAUUUUUGUAUUGAAACUCACUAAUCUCGUGUAAUAGAUUUACAGUUUCUGUUACAUUUCUGAACAAAUCAAUUAAGUGGUUCGAUUCUAGCACUGGUGGUGGUGAAGAAGAACUCAAUAUCUUCAAACAAAGAAUCGAUUCAUUGGUAGUCUGUGUUGUCAAUGAUAAAUUCUAUUCGCGAUUAGUUGGGGUUGCGGGUUACUUAGACUGGUAUUUAUUGUGAUUCCUGAUGAUGAUGGUGUGGUGGUGGUGAUGAAGAAAAAGAUUGCUCUUCACCGUGCUUGCCCUUAAAAGUUGGGGUUUUAUACCUUAAACAUUUCAGUCCAUGUCUAUGUCAGUCAAUACUAUUAUUCAUUGCAGGACGACCACCUUGGUGUGUCUGUCAUUCGAGCAUUGUACGUAGUUUUUUCUUGAAAUUAACAUGUAUGAUUGAUUUUUGGGGGUAGCCUGUGAUGUUAAAUCACUGAAAAUUGAUCUUAUGAGCUUUCUCACGAGUCAUGGUUAGGAUGAUGCUUGUAUUCACUCUAGUUGCGUGCAUCAUGGUUGGAAUGGUGUAUUUCCGAAUGGAGAAUGGAAUGAGUGUAUGGUUGAUAAGAAUGUAUGAAUGUCAAGCUGCAGAAUGGAGUGAGAAGGUACUUGAAACAUACUGCUUUGGGAUGAACUUGUUGCUUCCUUUUGCCAGAGAGGACUGAACUUAUUUCUGGACCUGAUGGAGAGGUACCUGCCAGUAGUGAUGUUGUUCACAUAUUUCAGUUACUGAUGAAUGGGGAGAUGAAGCGAUAGAUUUUUCCAGAAAAAACUCCAUAGGAUCUCUUGCUAUGUCUAAUAGAGAGGCAUGAAGAAAUAUGGGAUAAAAUUGGGGAGAGUGAUACUGGAAUAGAUAAGCUGCUUUUGAAUCUUCUUUUGCUACUUGAACAAGAAUGCUUGGAGUUUGUUCAUCGUGUUUAUAUUUUUUCGGUCUGUAUGUUCCCUCUUUCUAUGAAGAUGAUCUCCCUGUAGAAAGCAAGGGUGUGGGUAGGAAAGUUCUUGACGGGACAUACGAGAAGGUAUUGCCAAUUUGGGUGAUUUGCGGUUUAGGGUGUUGGAGUCAGCUGGUCUUGAAACAGCAGCAACUUCAGGAAGUAUUCUUGAUAGAACUACAGGAAUGACUGGUCAUGUACUUGAAAGGUCUCAAUUUGCGAUGUUCUUGAUUGACGUGAGAGAUGGAUUGCAGCCUCUUGAUUUCGAGGUGGGGUCGUGGUUGCGCAAACACGUGUCUGGAAUCCCUACUCUUCUAGUGAUGAAUAAGUCUGAAUCCCUACAGUUCAGCAGACGUAUGCCUCCCAGUUAGCUGGAAAAGAAUUUGCUUAUGAUGGUGAGAAGAGUUUGUUUACUGUUGGUCCUCUUCCACAAACUAGAGUUCACUGUUAUGCUUGAUGAGAUGUCAUCAAAUAGGAAUAUUGGGAAUGUUAGCCAUGCUGGUAAUGGAAACCCCGCUGAUGCUGAUUGAAAACGGAUGAAACUGUCAUAUCAUUCCCUUCAAUGUGGAGCUUAGUUUUGCAGCCAAAACUCCAAAACAGGUCAUUGGAAAAUGUUCUCCAUGGUCAGGAAUCAGAGAACUCUAAAGAAGCACUAUGAUAUUGGAUAUCAUUUUAAGGAAGCAUGUUGCCAAACAGGGUGCCUUCUUGUUCGUCAAUUCUUUUUUCACAACAAUCCAAAGAAUUUCGCAGACUUGGGAAGAGGUGUCAUUGGAUGCAGGGGAUUGCAUUUAGUUUCAAAGUUAGACAAGGUGGACUGAACAUUGAUGUAUCUAUUUCAAUGAUAAUACAACUAGGACGAAUUAUAGUGUGAUGGAUCCAGGUGACAUUGACUUGGAAAAUGUUAUAGAUGUGAUGAUCUGUAUUCAGAUUUAUGGAGAGCUUGUGCUGGUCCUCGUGUUGAUGUUCCAAAAAUUAGUGAAAGGGUUUAUUACUUCCCUCAAGGUCGUAUGGAGCAAUAUACUUGAGCUGGCCAGCUCUCAUGGUCAAUACUUCUACAAGUCCUUCCGCCAGUAUUGUUCACCAAUGGUAUUGUUUACUAAUGUAUUGUUCACCAAUAUGGUUCCAUGUUUUAUUUUGGUUUGAACUGAAUUGUUUCAUUUUCUGUUUGUAUUUUUUGGUAGUUUCUGUAUCAGAAUGUAUACUUUUCAGAUUUCUCUAAAUGUUAUGUUAUGGUUUUCAUGUUU
This is a long non-coding RNA of Papaver somniferum (opium poppy), 2419 nucleotides long. RefSeq lists it as uncharacterized. The record is from RefSeq and is a predicted model, not a curated record. The transcript is spliced from 11 exons. Lineage: Eukaryota; Viridiplantae; Streptophyta; Magnoliopsida; Ranunculales; Papaveraceae.